This 468-nucleotide ribosomal RNA is filed under the name uncultured bacterium. RNAcentral describes it as "partial 16S ribosomal RNA". It matches the Rfam family "Bacterial small subunit ribosomal RNA", at positions 28 to 507 of the family's 1533-position model. The record is from RNAcentral.
GACGAACGCUGGCGGCGUGCUUAACACAUGCAAGUCGAACGGAAAGGCCCUGCUUUUGUGGGGUGCUCGAGUGGCGAGCGGGUGAGUAACACGUGAGUAUCCUGCCCUGGACUUUGGGAUAACUUCAGAAAACUGCGGCUACUACCGGAUAGGAGCUCCUGAUGCAUGGUGGGGGUUGGAAAGUUUCGGCGGAUGGGGAUGGACUGGCGGCUUAUCAGCUUGUUGGUGGGGUAGUGGCUUACCCAGGCAUUGACGGGUAGCCGGCCUGGGAGGGUGACCGGCCACAUGGGGACUGAGGGACGGCCCAGACUGCUACGGGAGGCAGCAGGGGGGAGUAUGGCACAAUGGGCGGAAGCCUGAUGCGGCAACGCCGCGUGCGGGAUGACGGCCUUCGGGUUGUAAACCGCUGUCGCCUGUGACGAAGCGGGAUUGACGGUAAUGGGUAAAGAAGCACCGGCUAACUACGUG